Molecule: ribosomal RNA, 407 nt
Filed under: uncultured soil bacterium
Lineage: Bacteria
Description: bacterial SSU rRNA
Rfam family: Bacterial small subunit ribosomal RNA
Source: RNAcentral
AGAACGAACGCUGGCGGCAUGCCUAACACAUGCAAGUCGAACGAAGCCUUCGGGCUUAGUGGCGCACGGGUGCGUAACGCGUGGGAACCUGCCUUUAGGUUCGGAAUAACUCUCCGAAAGGGGUGCUAAUACCGAAUAAUGUCUUCGGACCAAAGAUUUAUCGCCUUUAGAUGGGCCCGCGUUGGAUUAGCUAGUUGGUGGGUAAAGCCUACCAAGGCGACGAUCCAUAGCUGGUCUUAGAGGAUGAUCAGCCACACUGGACUGAGACACGGCCCAGACUCCUACGGGAGCAACAGUGGGAAUAUGGACAAGUGGGCGAAAGCCUAGACCCAAGCCAAUCGCCGCGUGAGUGAUAGAACGGCGUUAAGGGGUUAGUAAAGUCUUACGUUUUACCGAGGUAUAGAUAA